RNAcentral lists this long non-coding RNA (2039 nucleotides) under Oryctolagus cuniculus (rabbit). Its description in RNAcentral is "lncRNA (ENSOCUG00000032307.1)". Lineage: Eukaryota; Metazoa; Chordata; Mammalia; Lagomorpha; Leporidae. The record is from RNAcentral.
AAUCAUAACAGUUUUUUUCAUUAUGGAAGAGAAAAGAUGAUCAUUCAGCCAGCUAUGGAAGUAGCAGCAGCUACACUAGUCUCAGACAUAAUCCAAAUUCUUGGUGUCCAUCAUGAUUAAUAUGCCUUUUAUAGUUACAUGUCAGUUUCUAAAUAACAUGGUUUUCCGGUUUUGAUCUCUGAUAUAUGAGUAUGUGAAUUUGCAGAAAUGUAUGCUGGUAACUAAUUUUCUCAAAAUAAUUCACCAAAGUGCCAUUUGAAAAUGAGGAUUUUAAACAAUAUCCAACUUAAGACAAAUGGUAACUGUCUUGCCAGUGAUUCUUACACUAAUGAAAAUUUCUGAAUUGUCUUAUAAAAGAUAUUAAGGUAAAUCACUCCUGUGACUUCAUUACUUGGAAAGCUCAUUAGAGCCAGAUUAAAAUUAUUUUCCUAUGCUAGAUAUUUAUCUAAAGCAAUGCUUCUCAAAGUGUUUUUCUCUGAAUAACGUGGGAUCACUGUUAGACAUGCAAAUCAUCCCGCCCCACCUUAGAAGCUUGGGGGAUGGGGUCCCCAUCACCUGUGCUGUAGCAAACCCUGGGCGAUUCUGAUGCACGCCUAAGUGGGAGCAUCUCUCCUGAGAAAGCGUGAGUCUCUGACUGGAAACAUGCCAGAAAAGCUGCCUGCCACAGGAUUUCUCCCAGUAGUCAUUUGCAUCCCCGAAACGCCUGCCGUGGAUUGGGUGUGAAACUGUUCGUUGAAGGUAAUUGGGAUUUGACCCUAUUUGCAAUGAAUAAGCACUGCCUUCUCAAUUUAAUACCCAAAUGAUGGUCUCAUUGCUUCAGCUGCAAGUAACUCAUUGAUCCUGUGACUUCCAAACUGUAACUAACUCAGGUUAACCAGGACCAGGUCUUGGUGAACACACUCGGCAGAGGUUUGCUGCUCCUCCUCUCUCUCCACCCUCGACAGGGUAGAAAGCAGGAGCUGCUGAUUGCGCUUGCUCUCAUCUGUCCCAUAUCCAGCCUGGAUUUGCUGGUCCGAGUCACCCUCGUGCGUGGCUCCACGUCCCUCUAAUUGUGGUCAGCUGGAGGAAGGGUCGUAGGGGCGCUCUUCCAGGCACUCUCACGUUGAGCGUAAGCUCUUCAGAGCAGGAGACGGGAGGAAACAGCGUCACCCCCUUGUCUGGCAGGGAAAGACGAGCGCAGAAAGACAUACAGGUGCUGGACAAACACUUGCUGGAUGAACACGGGAAGAAGUACACACAAACAGCAUUGGGCAGCUUUCUCUGUUAGCAGAGAUGGGUGGAACGGAUUCUUCAUGCAAAGAAGAAUUCAGAGGUGAGGCAGAGAGCAGUGGUAAGUGAGGGAGCGAGGUUGAGUGGGGUAGGACAUCCAUCAGAAUGGAUGGGCACCUCUCUAGGCAGUUUGAGAGAGAGUGCCCAAGCAAGGUCACAUGUUUAAUAGAAUAUACUGGACAGGCCACGUGGGUGGCUCGGGAAAGAGCUGAGAGCUGAGUGUGCACUCUGUAUCAGACUGAGACUUAUAAGGGAAUGGGGUCCAGUUCUUGCCAUUUCUCCUUCCCCUCCUCCCUUUUCUCUAGGAUAAAUGCAGGAGUAUGAAUAGGUACAACAAAUGCAGGAGUAUGAAUUAGGUACAACAAAUGCAGGAGUAUGAAUCAGGUAAGAUUCCUCUCAACAUCAGUACUCAGUGAUGCCAGACAGAGACGCUUCCCUAGGCUGCCCUCCUUGGGGGAAAGCUGUGAAGGUUUGUUCCCAGUGUUAUCGGGCUAAGGAGCCCAUCUGAUGCUGAGCAGAGAGGAUUUUCCUGGUAAUCUCCCUUGAGGUGAAGCCCGAGACCACCUGUUAAUUACUGGGGCCUGAGCAGGACUCCUGGUGUGAAUCCUGAGCUGCUUCCAGGGUUUCUGAGUUGCCCUGGAUACUUUGUUUUCCUUGGGUACCUCUCACCCACACAGGCUAAUUUCUUUUUUUUCAAUCUUUUCAAUUAUUUAUUUAUUUGACAGGUAGAUUUAUAGACAGAGAGAGAGACAGAGAGAAAGGUCUUCCUU